This is a regulatory RNA element of Martelella sp. AD-3, 117 nucleotides long. It matches the Rfam family "TPP riboswitch aptamer (THI element)". Rfam says of the family: Vitamin B(1) in its active form thiamin pyrophosphate (TPP) is an essential coenzyme that is synthesised by coupling of pyrimidine and thiazole moieties in bacteria. Lineage: Bacteria; Pseudomonadati; Pseudomonadota; Alphaproteobacteria; Hyphomicrobiales; Aurantimonadaceae. The record is from Rfam.
AGCGCUCACCCGGGGGGUCCCGACAAGGGGCUGAGAUACUGCUGGCUUACGCAGCGCAGUGACCCGAUGAACCUGAUCCAGUUCACACUGGCGUAGGGAUGGUGCAUCGGCUGCGCG